RNAcentral lists this ribosomal RNA (465 nucleotides) under uncultured bacterium. Its description in RNAcentral is "partial 16S ribosomal RNA". It matches the Rfam family "Bacterial small subunit ribosomal RNA", at positions 28 to 507 of the family's 1533-position model. The record is from RNAcentral.
GACGAACGCUGGCGGCGUGCUUAACACAUGCAAGUCGAACGGAAAGGCCCCUUUGUGGGUACGCGAUUGGCUAACGGGUGAGUAACACGUGAGUAACCUGCCCUUGACUUCGGUAUAACUUCAUGAAACUGGCUCUAAUACCGGAUAGGAAUCCUUGCUUCAUGGAUGGGGUUGGAAAGCUUCUGCGGGUUUGGAUGGACUCGCGGGUUAUCAGCUUGUUGGUGGGGUAGUUGCUUACCAAGGCUUUGACUGGUGGCCGGCCCGAGAGGGCGGCCGGCCAACUUGGGGCUUAGAUACGGGCCAGAACCCCACGGGGGGCAGGAGUGGGGGAAAUUGCACCAUGGGCGGGAGGCCGAUGCAGCAAAGCCGCGGUGCGGAUGAACGGCUUUGGGUUGUAAAACGCUUUCCGCAGGGGCGAAGCUUGUGGUGACGGUACCUGCAGAAGAAGCACCGGCUAACUACGUG